AGCAGCCGCGGUAAUUCCAGCUCCAAUAGCGUAUAUUAAAGUUGUUGCAGUUAAAACGCUCGUAGUUGAAUUUCGGGACCAAUUUGUUGGUCGUGCCUCGGUACGUACUGGUAUUAUUGGUUUCUACCUUCUGAAGAACCUUGAUGUCAUUAAUUUGGUGUCUUGGGGAAUCAGGACUGUUACUUUGAAAAAAUUAGAGUGUUUAAAGCAAGCAUACGCUUGAAUACAUUAGCAUGGAAUAAUGAAAUAGGACGUUUGAUUCUAUUUUGUUGGUUUCUAGGAUCGACGUAAUGAUUAAUAGGGAUAGUUGGGGGCAUUAGUAUUCAAUUGUCAGAGGUGAAAUUCUUGGAUUUAUUGAAGACUAACUACUGCGAAAGCAUUUGCCAAGGAUGUUUUCAUUAAUCAAGAACGAAAGUUAGGGGAUCGAAGACGAUCAGAUACCGUCGUAGUCUUAACCAUAAACUAUGCCGACUAGGGAUCGGAUGAUGUUAUUUUUAAUGUACUCAUUCGGCGCCUUACG
RNAcentral lists this ribosomal RNA (520 nucleotides) under uncultured Glomus. Its description in RNAcentral is "SSU rRNA". It matches the Rfam family "Eukaryotic small subunit ribosomal RNA", at positions 569 to 1092 of the family's 1831-position model. The record is from RNAcentral. Lineage: Eukaryota; Fungi; Glomeromycota; Glomeromycetes; Glomerales; Glomeraceae.